Molecule: long non-coding RNA, 4169 nt
Organism: Manis pentadactyla (Chinese pangolin)
Lineage: Eukaryota; Metazoa; Chordata; Mammalia; Pholidota; Manidae
Exons: 2
Source: RefSeq, a predicted model, not a curated record
ACAUGUGUGUGCACACAUAUGUACAUUUCACUGCUAAAACAUUGGAUGAAGCCGUAGCUAUGCCCAUCCUGUAGCUUGGUGUAUUAAAUUAAGACAGUGGCAAAAGCUGCCAGCCAACCACACUAUUUGAAAAGCAGUCACCACUGCUUUUCACCACUGGAGCCGAUCACUUACCUGGUUGUGGGCAGGGCUAAGACUCUUCUCCAGAUCCCGAAACAGAUUAACAGAUUUACACAGCACACUGACCAGGAGCUGGACCCGGACUCUCAGGCCUUGAGAACUGACACCAGGUAGAGUCACAGAUAAGAUGCAGCCACCCUCUUCUCUCUCUCCCCCUCUCCUUUCUCUCUCGCUCUUUCCAUUCCCCUUUUCCCCUCCAAACAAAACACUACCUGAACUUACAACAGAAGAACCUGGGGAUCGAGGGCACCCUAGCAGUCCUAAAUGCGAUGUAGUCAAGUAUUUAGUGUGAAUUCUCUGCAUGGAUUCUCAGUGUUAGUAAUAAAUGGUAACAUUCUUUUACAACUUCUGCUAUGGGCAAAAUAAAGCACAAAGGAUUUUGAGUGACAUUCUGCAAAUCACCACACAGACCUUAAUCCUGAUGACUGGCAUCUUCUCUAAGGACCUGCAUUAAGGAGCAUAGGAACAGCUUCCCACAAUCUGUCCCCCAUGGGUGCUUUUCCCAACCUCCCCUCCCACCCCCAGAAGAAACCCCUAGGUCCCUCUGGAAAAAGACCCCAGUUACUUAUUUAUUCGGGGUUUGUAAGUCCCUGGAAGUAAACCUCAUAGGUUUCUCAUCUACUAUCCAGAGGUAACAAAAUAAAUCUGUGUAAAUUCAUGCUGCCACAUUUCUGGAGGCUUCGCAUUCAAACCACCUCAGCAGCCUCAUUGUGUUUUUAUUACUUUGCAAUUUUUGCUCACAAAACAUGGUUAAGCAAACCAAAACAAAGGAAAAAAUUAAAGUCCUCACAGCCAAAAUCAGCUAUGCCAAAUUUCAGGCUCCAAACAGGACAAUUUAUAAAUAAACAUGCUGCACUUGCCAGAUAAAGAGGAAUGUGUUAAGAGAAGGCAAUGCAGAUUGGUGGAGAAGGUGCCGAACUACGCAGCAAGUCAGAAGGCAGGAGCUGAAGCCCCAGUCAUGUCCCUAAGGAGCUGUGUGAUAUGGGUCAAGUCACCCGACUUCUCUGGGCCUCUGCAAAGUAAGCAGGUAGGGUGAUAAAUUGAUCUAAGGUGGGAAUAGUCCCCUCUCCUGAGCAAACAAGCCUCACCUGCUUUUUAUCCCCAGUUCACACGGUAGCUCAGACCAGAGCAUCCCUUGCUUUUCCCUGGACAAGGUGACCAACUUGUUCUCAUUUGCCCGGGACUUUCCUGGUUCUCACACUGAGAGUCCUAGGUCCCAGGAAACCCCUCCAUCGGUGUGCCCCAGGGGCACACCGGGACAAUUGGCUAGUCUAUCCUUGGAGCCUACCCAGACCCCAUUGGCUGAAGAAAGAGGUUAAUAAUCUCAAGCACUUGUAGACCACUUUAGAGUCUUGGACCUAGCUAUUCACAAAACGUGGUCAGUACAGGCAGCCUCAGCAUCCCCUGGGGAUUAGCUGGAAAUGCAGAACUCAGGCCCACCCACCCCAGAUCUACUGAGUUAGAAUCUGCAUUUGAGCAGCAACCCCUCUCCCUGUCACUCAUGUGAAACUCAAGAAAGUGUGAGAAGGGCUUCUCGGAAACAAUUCUGAUGAACACAACUGGUUGAGGAAGCAUUAUUCCCCAUUUCCCAGAUGAGGAAAACAAGGCUCAGAUAGAUGGUUUAUUUAUUCAUUUGAUCCAUUAAGUACCUACUGUGUGCCAGGCACCAUUAAGUGACUUGCCCAAGGUCACACAGCUAUUAAGUAGUCCAGACAAUCCCCAAACUCAGAUCUUCAGAUUCCCAGCCAAGGUCUUCCUUGUGUACCUGGGGGCAAACUGCAUGGCCACAGUUUAAUAUGCAAACUGAUUGUAGAUUAAACAGAGGCCUCCCGGGCAGUAGAGAGCUUCAGAUAGUUUCAGAUAGCAUUCUUGGCUCAUGAAACUGUGAGCUUAUCAGCUAUUUACUUACACAGUCCACAGGUCACUGAGGCUUGAAAAUGUCCUUAUUGUUAACUGCCCCCUUCUCAUCCCAGCUCCCCCUCUCCAGUGACCCUCCCACAAGAAGAUUUGGAAGCCCUGUCCACAAGGCUUUUCAAAGCACCAAGGCCAUGCGUCUGUGCUAUUUAUCUUCUUGAAUGGAGGACAAGUGAUUAUUUCAUUUACUUUAAUGGGGCUAUAAUGGGAAGGGCCAGUCCUGACCUGAACUACUAAAACCAAAGAGAAAGUCUUCGGGGACAGUUUUCCUGAUGUUCAUAAAACAUUUUCACAUUUGGUCCCUAGCGAUAAGCUAAAUAAUGCCCACUGUUUUCCACGACGCUGAGAGCACUGACAAAGGAACAACUGAAUAUAGGCCAAUAAAAUGUCAUCAGACCUUCCCAGUCUGGAGUUAGGAAAGUUUUCCCUUACAAUUUCAGUCUUUCCUCCAGUUUUUAUUCCAAAACUGAAUGUCACCACCAUGGGGUCAGAUGGAGCAUCCAAAUGAUAUAAUGUAAGACUCACAGCGUCCCAAAGAGAAAAGUCUGAAAAUCUUUAAAAAAGAACAGAUCCUGCCUAUUGUGCACUGACCCUCCUGAAGGUUCCCUGGGUUCAGAUCCCACUGGGAAUUCAGACAUGCUGCUCUCGUCACAGGGAGAAAGCAAGCUUGGCACCUCUGCCUUCAUGUUGUUCCCACCUCCUUCACUGCUCUAACCUUUGAGCCAGUAACUCCUGCUCAGCCCUGUACGUAGACAUGUUUUAACCUGUCUACUUUUGCAAACAGCCCUCUCUUACCCAAAACUUGCCCAGGGAAGGAAGGAAGUAUGUCCAAAAAUAACAAAUGCCUGUCACAGAUGUAUGGAAAUAGCAUCACCAGAACCAUGGCAGUAAAAUGACUGAAGUCACCUGACCAAGAAAAAAAGUUCCCAACCUCCUCGGACCCUUGCUGGCUCUCCAGGUGUCUGGAGUUGACCCUGACCUCCGGACCUCAAGCCCCUCCUGCUUCCCUUUUCCCUAACAUAAAAGAAGCUUGAAAUCAAUUCUGAGUUAAGAUGAUCCUUUAGGACAUGAGUCCUCUAUCUUCUCAGUCUGCUGGCUUCCCAAAUAAAGUCAUUUUCCUCACCCUGACACCUUGUCUCUCGACUAACUGGCCUGUUGUGCAGUGAGUAGCAUGAGCUUGGAUUCAGUAACACUCUUAACCAGCUCAGAUGUGGGUUGAGUGCCUAGUGGUGAUCUCUUUGCCUUGACUCCUCUCCCCCAGGGAACAGUGAUUCCAAGACCCCCAACUCCAGGCCAGCAGGGCAGCCAGCCUCAAGGCCUGCCCCUCCCCUCUCCAGAGCUGCUGAAACCUCUCUGACUUCCAUGGGGCUUUUCUCCUCCAAGCCCUCUAUGGACCGAGAAAAACCCUGCCAGCUGCAGUUGCUCUUCCUUCUUGCCUCCAGAGACAAGCACUCAGUUCUCUUCACUGAGAAGGAGGAACCAAAACUAACAAAAUUGGCCAUGAACAAAGCUUACUUACAAAAGGCUCUGAUCUAUUUACUUUUGUCCUUUGAGAUGGUAAGAGAGUGGGGUGGCUCACAUUUACUAAGGGCUGACUGGUUCCAGGCCCUCCUUUAGGAGAUUUAUUUGUAUCAUCACCUAUGGGGGCAGGUAUAUUGUUAUCUCUACCUUACAGAGGAGGCUGCUGAGACUCCGAGCUCAAGGGAAUUACUCAAGGUCGCCAGUUAGUCAUGCAGGGAAGGUAAUGAACUCCUAAAAGAGGGAAGACAGAGGCCCAGGAAGGCCAAGAAUGACUUGUCCACAUCCACCCAGAAAGCAGGAGAGCCCAGGCUGCUGGUUCUUGGAGCUAGCAUGCAUGGUGCAUAAGCACAUGGAUUCUGAUGCCACCAGGCCUGCACUGAAUGCUGGUGAUGCCACACACCACCUCUGUGAUCUUACACAAGGUCCUCAAUAUCCCUGCCCACUUUCAGCAUUGGUUAACUGGAGGUGAAGAAAAUAGUAACACCUGCCUCAUUAGGCUCUGUGAGGAUUAGACAUUCCAGUGUUUGGAGCCAAGCAUAGCACUCAGUAAGUAA